This 468-nucleotide ribosomal RNA is filed under the name uncultured bacterium. RNAcentral describes it as "partial 16S ribosomal RNA". It matches the Rfam family "Bacterial small subunit ribosomal RNA", at positions 28 to 507 of the family's 1533-position model. The record is from RNAcentral.
GACGAACGCUGGCGGCGUGCUUAACACAUGCAAGUCGAACGGAAAGGCCCUGCUUUUGUGGGGUGCUCGAGUGGCGAACGGGUGAGUAACACGUGAGUAACCUGCCCUUGACUUUGGGAUAACUUCAGGAAACUGGGGCUAAUACCGGAUAGGAGCUCCUGCUGCAUGGUGGGGGUUGGAAAGUUUCGGCGGUUGGGGAUGGACUCGCGGCUUAUCAGCUUGUUGGUGGGGUAGUGGCUUACCAAGGCUUUGACGGGUAGCCGGCCUGAGAGGGUGACCGGCCACAUUGGGACUGAGAUGCGGCCCAGACUCCUACGGGAGGCAGCAGUGGGGAAUAUUGCACAAUGGGCGGAAGCCUGAUGCAGCAACGCCGCGUGCGGGAUGACGGCAUUCGGGUUGUAAACCGCUUUCGCCUGUGACGAAGCGUGAGUGACGGUAAUGGGUAAAGAAGCACCGGCUAACUACGUG